UAAAAAGCGGUGAAGGGAAGAAGUAGCAGUUAUCGGAGAAGACAGAAAGCAGCCGGCAGAUGAGAGGCGCGUGACACGUUAUCUGUGAAUACAUCUCGGAGCUCCGCACUGAAAGGCUUCAUUACAGGGGGGCUGAGUAGGAUGCGGCGGACUGGCACUCGUUAUUGUGCUGAAUGAGACCGGAAUAGGAAUUCCGGUGAAUUAAGGUGGUACCACGGUUAAUUAUUCGUCCUUAUU
This 237-nucleotide non-coding RNA is filed under the name Lachnoclostridium sp. Its description in RNAcentral is "T-box sequence". It matches the Rfam family "T-box leader". From Rfam's summary of the family: Uncharged tRNA acts as the effector for transcription antitermination of genes in the T-box leader family. T-boxes are found upstream of many aminoacyl-tRNA synthetase genes and some amino acid biosynthetic genes usually in Gram-positive bacteria. The anticodon of a specific tRNA base pairs to a specifier sequence within the T-box motif, and the NCCA acceptor tail of the tRNA base pairs to a conserved bulge in the T-box antiterminator hairpin. The record is from RNAcentral. Lineage: Bacteria; Bacillati; Bacillota; Clostridia; Lachnospirales; Lachnospiraceae.